Molecule: long non-coding RNA, 1421 nt
Filed under: Cyanistes caeruleus (blue tit)
Lineage: Eukaryota; Metazoa; Chordata; Aves; Passeriformes; Paridae
Description: lncRNA (ENSCCEG00000014394.1)
Source: RNAcentral
GUGUGUCUGCAGGGAGGACUUUCCCAGCUCCUUUGCUGAUUGGUGUGCAGAAGCCCCACUUCCAUCGCAGGGGUCCUCCAAGUGACAAAGACAAACGUACAGGAGAGAAGGAAUCAAACAACAUCCAGAAACAAAUUGUGGACGAACUGCAGAAAGGGCCUGGUGGGUUCAUGUCCCUAAGCCUCCUCCUGAGACUCAGCAGCCAGGGGCUUUCUCUACCCAUCAGGACACGCUGUGCCCUGCACGGCCCCCUGCUGCUUUCAUGCCCUGCAAGGCUCAUGAAAGCUGGCCUGGCUGCAGCUUCUCCCCAGCCUCCACAGGAAGGCAUUUGGCAUCAGCUGACAGGGAGCCCAAACUGCAGCACAGGCCGUGCACACCCUGAGAUCCCCUGCAAUUCCCCAGUCUCUGAGCAGAUCAGAAAGGGCAGCUGUUUGGAGGAGGGAGGGCCCUGGCCCAGGCCAAAUAACCUGGGCACUUUCCUGGUCCCUGUCACUGAUAAAUACUGGCUCCUGAAGAUGCCACCACCCAAAUGGGGAACAGUUCCAUAUGAUCCAGCUGGCUCCUUUCUUUCUCAAGACAUGGACAUACAGGUUCUGUGGAAGGCAGCAUUUCCUGCAGGCAGCAGUCACUCGUCGGCAGCCUCUGCUGCAGGAAGGAAUGGGAUGGCACACAUGAGUACGGGCCCAGACACAGGAGAUUUGGUUGCUGGGAAGGCUCCUCCAUUAGCCUUGAGAUAUGAAGAUUUGAAGCCCUCUGGGCCACCUGCAGUUACAGGUGUGUCUGCAGACAGGAUUUCCCCAGCUCCUGGGCUGGAUGCUGCACAAAAGCCUGACUCCCAUCACAGGGAAAAGACCAAAUACACCUCAGAGAAGAAAUCCCAGGAGCGAUUUGAAGUCAUGUGGAAAAUGCUGAAGGAAUUCAAGCAGGGAGCACAAGAAGUGGAUGAAGAGGCUGUGCUGAAGGCGGUGUUUCCUGGAGGAAACAGUGGUUCACUGGCAGCCUCUGCUGCAGGAAGGGAGGCCAUGCCAGGCACAGUCCCAGGAGAUUGGGAUCGUGAUAUGGAUUAUGUGGAAGCCCUGGUGGAAAAUGGCUUGAAAUUCUUGGAGGAUAUUGGAGCCAAGCCGCUUGGUGAAGGUGAUGCAGCUUCUCAACCCAUACCCAGGACUGAGCCUCAGGGAGGUGGUGAGGUUACAGGUGUGUCUGCAGGGAGCACUUCCCCAGAUCUUGAGGUGGUUACUGCACCCAAGCCCGGCUCCCAUCGCAGGGGUCCUCCAAAAAGAAAGACCCAAGAUAAUGGAACCAAAAAGUCUGUAUUGUCAAAUGAUUUCCUGAGACCAACAAAGAAAGAAGUGCAGGGAGGACAAGGAGCAUGUCUGCACCUUCAGAAGACCAGCCAAAGACUCCACUCAGCGAGAAGCUGA